This 446-nucleotide ribosomal RNA is filed under the name uncultured bacterium. RNAcentral's name for it is "bacterial SSU rRNA". It matches the Rfam family "Bacterial small subunit ribosomal RNA", at positions 329 to 792 of the family's 1533-position model. The record is from RNAcentral.
UUCCAGACUCCUACGGGAGGCAGCAGUGGGGAAUAUUGCACAAUGGGGGAAACCCUGAUGCAGCGACGCCGCGUGAGUGAGGAGGUAUUUCGGUAUGUAAAGCUCUAUCAGCAGGGAAGAAAAUGACGGUACCUGACUAAGAAGCCCCGGCUAACUACGUGCCAGCAGCCGCGGUAAUACGUAGGGGGCAAGCGUUAUCCGGAUUUACUGGGUGUAAAGGGAGCGUAGACGGCAGUGCAAGUCUGAAGUGAAAGGCGGGGGCCCAACCCCCGGACUGCUUUGGAAACUGUGCUGCUGGAGUGCAGGAGAGGCAAGUGGAAUUCCUAGUGUAGCGGUGAAAUGCGUAGAUAUUAGGAGGAACACCAGUGGCGAAGGCGGCUUGCUGGACAGUAACUGACGCUGAGGCGCGAAAGCGUGGGGAGCAAACAGGAUUAGAUACCCUUGUA